This 119-nucleotide ribosomal RNA is filed under the name Nicotiana attenuata. Lineage: Eukaryota; Viridiplantae; Streptophyta; Magnoliopsida; Solanales; Solanaceae. The record is from RNAcentral.
GGAUGCGAUCAUACCAGCUCUAACGCACCGGAUCCCAUCAGAACUCCGAAGUUAAGCGUGCUUGGGCGAGAGUAGUACUAGGAUGGGUGACCCCCUGGGAAGUCCUCGUGUUGCAUCCC